This 253-nucleotide ribosomal RNA is filed under the name uncultured bacterium. Its description in RNAcentral is "partial 16S ribosomal RNA". It matches the Rfam family "Bacterial small subunit ribosomal RNA", at positions 524 to 776 of the family's 1533-position model. The record is from RNAcentral.
UACGGAGGGUGCGAGCGUUGUCCGGAAUCACUGGGCGUAAAGGGCGCGUAGGCGGCCUGGUAAGUAGGGGGUGAAAUCCUGCGGCUUAACCGCAGGGCUGCCUUCUAAACUGUCAGGCUCGAGCACAGUAGAGGCAGGUGGAAUUCCCGGUGUAGCGGUGGAAUGCGUAGAGAUCAGGAAGAACACCGGUGGCGAAAGCGCUUUGCUAGGCCGCAACUGACACUGAGGGACGAAAGCUAGGGGAGCGAAUGGG